RNAcentral lists this ribosomal RNA (610 nucleotides) under uncultured bacterium. RNAcentral describes it as "bacterial SSU rRNA". The stretch from base 1 to 522 matches the Rfam family "Bacterial small subunit ribosomal RNA", at positions 338 to 873 of the family's 1533-position model. The record is from RNAcentral.
CCUACGGGAGGCAGCAGUGGGGAAUAUUGCACAAUGGGCGAAAGCCUGAUGCAGCGACGCCGCGUGAGGGAUGAAGGCCUUCGGGUUGUAAACCUCUUUCAGUAGGGAAGAAGCGAAAGUGACGGUACCUGCAGAAGAAGCGCCGGCUAACUACGUGCCAGCAGCCGCGGUAAUACGUAGGGCGCAAGCGUUGUCCGGAAUUAUUGGGCGUAAAGAGCUCGUAGGCGGUUUGUCGCGUCUGGUGUGAAAACUCAAGGCUCAACCUUGAGCUUGCAUCGGGUACGGGCAGACUAGAGUGCGGUAGGGGUGACUGGAAUUCCUGGUGUAGCGGUGGAAUGCGCAGAUAUCAGGAGGAACACCGAUGGCGAAGGCAGGUCACUGGGCCGCAACUGACGCUGGGGAGCGAAAGCAUGGGGAGCGAACAGGAUUAGAUACCCUGGUAGUCCAUGCCGUAAACGUUGGGCACUAGGUGUGGGGCUCAUUCCACGAGUUCCGUGCCGCNGCAACGACAUAGUGCCCGCCGUCGGGAGGUACGGCCGCGACGGACGUAAACGUACGAAGGAAGUUAGACGGCGUGAGACGUGCCGACGGACGACGACGAGGGAGGAGG